UACGUAGGUGGCAAGCGUUAUCCGGAAUUAUUGGGCGUAAAGCGCUCGCAGGCGGUUUCUUGAGUCUGAUGUGAAAGCCCACGGCUCAACCGUGGAGGGUCAUUGGAAACUGGGGAACUUGAGUGCAGAAGAGAAAAGCGGAAUUCCACGUGUAGCGGUGAAAUGCGUAGAGAUGUGGAGGAACACCAGUGGCGAAGGCGGCUUUUUGGUCUGAAACUGACGCUGAGGAGCGAAAGCGUGGGGAGCAAACAGG
Molecule: ribosomal RNA, 253 nt
Filed under: uncultured bacterium
Lineage: Bacteria
Description: partial 16S ribosomal RNA
Rfam family: Bacterial small subunit ribosomal RNA
Source: RNAcentral